GACGAACGCUGGCGGCGUGCUUAACACAUGCAAGUCGAACGGAAAGGCCCUGCUUUUGUGGGGUGCUCGAGUGGCGAACGGGUGAGUAACACGUGAGUAACCUGCCCUUGACUUUGGGAUAACUUCAGGAAACUGGGGCUAAUACCGGAUAGGAGCUCCUGCUGCAUGGUGGGGGUUGGAAAGUUUCGGCGGUUGGGGAUGGACUCGCGGCUUAUCAGCUUGGUGGUGGGGUAGUGGCUUACCAAGGCUUUGACGGGUAGCCGGCCUGAGAGGGUGACCGGCCAAAAUGGGACUGAGGUACGGGCCAGAACUCUUACGGAGGGAGGAGGUGGGAAUAUUGCACAAUGGGCGGAAGCCUGAUGCAGCAACGCCGCGUGCGGGAUGACGGCCUUCGGGUUGUAAACCGCUUUCGCCUGUGACGAAGCGUGAGUGACGGUAAUGGGUAAAGAAGCACCGGCUAACUACGUG
Molecule: ribosomal RNA, 468 nt
Filed under: uncultured bacterium
Lineage: Bacteria
Description: partial 16S ribosomal RNA
Rfam family: Bacterial small subunit ribosomal RNA
Source: RNAcentral